UGAACCUUCAGGUGCCAUCACAAACCCACCAAGAGACCUUUCAGGUGACAUCACAGAGCCACAUUGAGGCACUUCAGGUGACUUCACAGACCACAGAGAGAUACUUCAGGUGUCAUCACAGAGCCACAGAGAGACACUACAGUUGACAUUAAUAAGCCACAGAGAGACGCUUCAAGUGACAUCACAGAGCCACAGUGAGACAAUUCAGGAGACACCACAGAGCAACAGAGUUACCCUUCAAGUGACAUAACAGAGCCACAUAUUGACACUCUUUGUGACAUCACAGAACCAGAGAGAGAUCCUUUGGUGAUAUCACAGAGCAACAGAGACCGCUUCUGCUGAAAUUACAGGGCCACAGAUACACCAUUCAGGUUACAUCACAAAGCCAUUAAGAGACCGUUCAGGUGGCAUCACAGAGCCACAGAGAGACCCUUCAGUUGACUUCACAGAGCCACAGAGAGACACUUCAGGUGUCUUCACACAGCCACAGGAGACACUAAAGAUGACAACACAGAGCCACAGGAGACACUUCAGGUGAUAUCACAGAGCAACACAGAGACACUUCAUUUGUCAUUACAGAGCCACAGAGAGACCCUUCAGGUGACAACACAGAGCCACAUGGAAACACUUCAGGUGGCUUCACAGAGCCACAGAGAGACGCUUCAGGUGUCAUCAUAGAGCCACAGAGAGACACUACAGGUGACAUCACAGAACCACAGGGAGACACUUCAGGUGACAUAACAGAGCCACAGCAAUACCAUUCUUGUGACAUCACAGAAGCAGAGACAGAUCCUUCGGGUGACAUCACAGAGCCACAGAGACAUCUUCUGGUGACAUCACAGAGCCACCGAGACAUCAUUCAGGUAACAUCACAAAGCCUCUAAGGGACUUUACAGGUGACAUAACAGAACCAGAGAGAGAUGCUUUAGGUGACAUCACAGAGCCACAGAGAGACGCUUCAGGUGUCAUCACAGAGCCACAGAGAUGCAAUUCAGGUGACAUCACAGAGCCACAGAGAGAAACUUCAGGUGUCAUCACAGAGCCAUAGAGAGACCCUUCAGGUGUCAUCACAGAGCCACAGAGAUGCAAUUCAGGUGACAUCACAGAGCCACAGAGAGACACUUCAGGUGUCAUCACAGAGCCACAGAGAGACCCUUCAGGUGAUAUCACAGAGCCAUAGAGAGACUUUCAGGUGACAUCACAUAGAAACAGAGAUGCUUCAGGUGACAUCACAGAGCCACAGAGAGACCCUGCAGGUGCCAUCACAGAGCCACAGAGCGACACUUCAGGUGUCAUCACAGAGCCAUAGAGACCCCUUCAGGUGUCAUCACAGAGCCACAGAGUGACCAUUCAUAUGACACCAGAGAUACACAGAGAGACCAUUCAGGUGACAUCAAAGAGCUACCGAGAGACCCUUCAGGUGUCAUCACAGAGCCACAGAGAGACCUUUCAGGUGUCAUCACAGAGCCACAGUGUGAACCUUCAGGUGCCAUCACAAACCCACUAAGAGACCUUUCAGGUGACAUCACAGAGCCACAUUGAGUCACUUCAGGUGACUUCUCAGACCACAGAGAGACACUUCAGGUGUCAUCACAGAGCCACAGAGAGACACUACAGUUGACAUUAAUGAGCCACAGAGAGAUGCUUCAAGUGACAUCACAGAGCCAUAGUGAGACAAUUCAGGAGACACCACAGAGCAACAGAGUUACCCUUCAAGUGACAUCACAGAACCACAUAUUGACACUUUUGGGACAUCACAGAACCAGAGAGAGAUCCUUUGGUGAUAUCACAGAGCAACAGAGACGCCUUCUGGUGACAUUACAGAGCCACAGAUACACCAUUCAGGUUACACCACAAAUCCAUUAAGAGACAAUUAGGUGGCAUCACAGAGCCACAUAGAGACCCUUCAGUUGACUUCACUGAGCCACAGAGAGACCCUUCAUGUGUCUUCACACAGGUACAGAGACACUUCAGGUGACAUCACAGAGACACAGAGAGACCCUUCUGGUGUCACCACAAAGAAGCAGAGAACCCUUCUGGUGACAUCACAGAACAACAGAGAUACCAUUCAGAUGACAUCACAAAGCCUCCAAGAGACCCUUUAGGUGACAUCACAAUACAAGAGAGUGACAUUUCAGGUGACAUCACAGAGCCACCGAGAGAUGCUUCAGGUGAGAUCACAGAUCCACUCAGAGACACUUCAGGUGUCAUCACAGAGCCACAGAGAGACACUUAAGGUGACAACACAGAGCCACAGGAGACACUUCAGGUGACAACACAGAGCAACACAGAGACACUUCAUGUGUCAUCACAGAGCCACAGAGAGACCCUUCAGGUGACAACACAGAGCCACAUAGAAACACUUCAGGUGGCUUCACAGAGCCACAGAGAGACGCUUCAGGUGUCAUCACAGAGCCACAGAGAGGCACUACAGGUGAUAUCACAGAGCCACAUAGAGAACCUUCAGGUGACAUUACAGAGCCACAGAGACACACUUCCUGUGACAUCACAGAGACACAGAGACCAAUUCAGGUGACAUCAAAGAGCCACAGAGACAUCAUUCUGUUGACAUCACAAAGCGACCAAGAUACCAUUCAGGUGACAUCACAGAACCAUAGAGAGACCCUUCUGGUGACUUCACAGAGCCACAGAGAGACCCAACAGUUGACAACCCUUAGCCACAGAGAGACGCUUCAGGUGACAUCACAGAACAACAGAGAUUCCUUUCAGGUGACAUCACAGAGCCACAGAGAGACCCUUCAGUUGACUUCACAGAGCCCCAGAGAGACCCUUCAGGUGUCUUCACACAGCCACAGAGACACUUCAGGUGAUAUCACAGAGCCACAGAGAGACCCUUCUGGUGUCACCACAAAGAUGCAGAGACAUCUUCAGGUGACAUCACAGAACAACAGUGAUACCAUGCAGAUGACAUAACAAUGCCUCCAAGAGACCCUUCAGGUGAAUUCACAGAACAAGAGAGUGAACGUUCUGGUGACAUCACUUAGCGACAGAGCGAUGCGUUAGGUGACAUCACAGAGUCACAGAGACACUUCAGGUGUCAUCACAGAGCCACAGAGAGACACUUAAGGUGACAACACAGAGCCACAGGAGAGACUUCAGGUGACAACACAGAGCAACACAGAGACACUUCAUGUGUCAUCACAGAGCCACAGAGAGACACUUCAGGUGACAACACAGAGCCACAUAGAAACACUUCAGGUGGCUUCACAGAGCCACAGAAGACGCUUCAGGUGUCAUCACAGAGCCACAGAGAGGCACUACAGGUGAUAUCACAGAGCCACAUAGAGAACCUUCAGGUGACAUCACAGAGCCACAGAGACACACUUCCUGUGACAUCACAGAGACACAGAGACCGAUUCAGGUGACAUCAAAGAGCCAAAGAGACAUCAUUCUGUUGACAUCACAAAGCGACCAAGAGACCAUUCAGGUGACAUCACAGAACCAUAGAGAGACCCUUCUGGUGACUUCACAGAGCCACAGAGAGACCCGACACUUGACAACCCUUAGCCACAGAGAGACGCUUCAGGUGACAUCACAGAACAACAAGAAUUCCUUUCAGGUGACAUCACAGAGCCACAGAGAGACCCUUCAGUUGACUUCAAAGAGCCACAGAGAGACCCUUCAUGUGUCUUCACACAGCCACAGAGACACUUCAGGUGACAUCACAGAGCCACAGAGAGACCCUUCUGGUUUCACCACAAAGAUGCAGAGACCCCUUCAGGUGACGUCACAGAACAACAGAGAUACCAUUCAGAUGACAUCACAAAGCCUCCAAGAGACCCUUCAGGUUACAUCACAGAACAAGAGAGUGACCAUUCUGGUGACAUCACUUAGCCACAGAGAGACGCUUCAGGUGACAUCACAGAGACACAGAGACACUUCAGGUGUCAUCACAGAGCCACAGAGAGACGCUUCAGGUGAGAUCACAGAUCAACACAGAGAGAAUUCAGGUGAUAUCACAGAACCACAGAGAUUCCUUUCAGGUGACAACACAGAGCCACAGAGAGACCCUUCAGAUUUCAUCAAUGCCACAGAGAGACACUUCAUGUCUCUUCACAGAGCCAAAGAGAGACCCUUCAGUUGUCAUAACAGAACCCCAGAGAGACACUUCAGGUGACAUCACAGAACCACAGAGAAACACUUCAGGUGUCAUCACAGAGCCACAGAGAGAAUCUUCAUUUGACAUCCCUUAUCCACAGAGUGACACAUCAGGUGACAUCAGAGAACCAACAGAGACACUUCAGGAGUGAUCUUAGAGCCACAGAGAGACACUUCAGGUGUCAUCACAGAGCCAGAGAGACACUUAAGGUGACAUAACAGAGUCACAGAGAUACCAUUCAUGUGACAUCACAGAACCAGAGACAGAUCCUUCUGGUGACAUCACAGAGCCUCAGAGACCUCUUCUGGUGACAUCACAGAGCCACAGAGAGACGCUUCAGGUGUCAACACAGAGACACAGGAUUAAAAUUCAGGUGACAUCACAGAACAACAGAGAGACACUUCAGGUGUCAUCACAGAGCCACAGAGAGACCCUUCAGGUGAUAUCACAGAGCCAUAGAGAGACUUUCAGGUGACAUCACAUAGAAACAGAGACGCUUCAGGUGACAUCACAGAGCCACAGAGAGACCCUUCAGGUGACAUCACAGAGCCACAGAGCGACACUUCAGGUGUCAUCACAGAGCCAUAGAGACCCCUUCAGGUGUCAUCACAGAGCCACAGAGUGACCAUUCAUAUGACACCAGAGAUACACAGAGAGACCAUUCAGGUGACAUCAAAGAGCUACCGAGAGACCCUUCAGGUGUCAUCACAGAGCCACAAAGAGACCAUUCAGGUGUCAUCACAGAGCCACAGUGUGAACCUUCAGAUGCCAUCACAAACCCACUAAGAGACCUUUCAGGUGACAUCACCGAGCCACAUUGAGGCACUUUAGAUGACUUCACAGACCACAGAGAGACACUUCAUGUGUCAUCACAGAGCCACAGAGAGACACUACAGUUGACAUUAAUGAGCCACAGAGAGAUGCUUCAAGUGACAUCACAGAGUCAUAGUGAGACAAUUCAGUAGACACCACAGAGCAACAGAGUUACCCUUCAAGUGACAUCACAGAGCCACAUAUUGACACUUUUGUGACAUCACAGAACCAGAGAGAGAUCCUUUGGUGAUAUCACAGAGCAACAGAGACCCCUUCUGGUGACAUUACAGAGCCACAGAUACACCAUUCAGGUUACACCACGAAUCCAUUAAGAGACAAUUCAGGUGGCAUCACAGAGCCACAUAGAGACCCUUCAGUUGACUUCACUGAGCCACAGAGAGACACUUCAGGUGAUAUCACAGAGCUAUAGAGAGACUUUUUGGUGACAUCACAGAGCCAUAGAGAGACACUUCAGGUGACAUAACAGAGCCAAAGAAAUACCAUUCUUGUGACAUCACAGAACCAGAAACAGAUCCUUCUGGUGACAUCACAGAGCCACAGAGACAUCUUCUGGUGACAUCACAGAGCCACAGAGACAUCAUUCAGGUACCUUCACAAAGCUUCUAAGAGACUUUACCGGUGACAUAACAGAUCCAGAGAGAGAUCCUUCAGGUGACAACACAGAGCCACAGAGAGACGCUUCAGGUGUCAUCACAGAGCCACAGAGAUACAAUUCAGGUGACAUCAAAGAGCCACAGAGACACUUCAGUGGUCAUCACAGAGCCACAGAGAGACACUUCAGGAGACAUAACAGAGCCACAGAAAGACCAUUCAUGUGACAUCCAAGAACCAGAGAGAACCUUCUGGUGACAUCACAGAACCACAGAGACCUAUUCUGGUGACAUCACAGAGCCACAUAGACACCUUUCAGGUGACAUCAGAAAGCCACAGAGAGACCGAUCAGGUGUCAUCACAGAGCCACAGAGAGACCCUUCAGUUGACUUCACAGAGCCCCAGAGAGACCCUUCAGGUGUCUUCACACAGCCACAGAGACACUUCAGGUGAUAUCACAGAGCCACAGAGAGACCCUUCUGGUGUCACCACAAAGAUGCAGAGACAUCUUCAGGUGACAUCACAGAACAACAGUGAUACCAUGCAGAUGACAUAACAAAGCCUCCAAGAGACCCUUCAGGUGAAUUCACAGAACAAGAGAGUGACCGUUCUGGUGACAUCACUUAGCGACAGAGCGAUGCUUUAGGUGACAUCACAGAGUCACAGAGACACUUCAGGUGUCAUCACAGAGCCACAGAGAGACACUUAAGGUGACAACACAGAGCCACAGGAGACACUUCAGGUGACAACACAGAGCAACACAGAGACACUUCAUGUGUCAUCACAGAGCCACAGAGAGACCCUUCAGGUGACAACACAGAGCCACAUAGAAACACUUCAGGUGGCUUCACAGAGCCACAGAGAGACGCUUCAGGUUUCAUCACUGCCACAGAGAGAUACUUCAUUUCUCUUCACAGAGCCAAAGAGAGACCCUUCAGUUAUCAUAACAGAACCCCAGAGAGACACUUCAGGUGACAUCACAGAACCACAGAGAAACACUUCAGGUGUCAUCACAGAGCCACAGAGAGAAUCUUCAUUUGACAUCCCUUAUCCACAGAGUGACACUUCAGGUGACAUCAGAGAACCAACAGAGACACUUCAGGAGUCAUCUCAGAGCCACAGAGACACACUUCAGGUGUCAUCACAGAGCCAGAGAGACACUUCAGGUGACAUAACAGAGUCACAGAGAUACCAUUUAUGUGACAUCACAGAACCAGAGACAGAUCCUUCUGGUGACAUCACAGAGCCUCAGAGACCUCUUCUGGUGACAUCACAGAGCCACAGAGAGACGCUUCAGGUGUCAACACAGAGACACAGGAUUAAAAUUCAGGUGACAUCACAGAGCCACUGAGAGACACUUCAGGUGAUAUCACAGAGCCAUAGAGAGACUUUCAGGUGACAUCACAGAGCCACAGAGAGACACUGCAGGUAACAAAACAGAGCCACAGAAAUACCAUUCUUGUGACAUCACAGAACCAGAGACAGAUCCUUCUGGUGACAUCACAGAGCAACAGAGAGACGCUUCAGGUGUCAUCAAAGAGACACAGAGAUACAAUUCAGGUGACAUUACAGAGCCACAGAGACACUUCAGCUGACUUCACAGAGCCACAGAGAGAUACUUCAGGUGACAUAACAGAGCCACAGAAAUACCAUUCUUGUGACAUCACAGAACCAGAGACAGAUCCUUCUGUUGACAUCACAUAGCCACAGAGAGACACUUCAGGUGAAAUAACAGAGCCACAGAAAUACCAUUCUUGUGACAUCACAGAACCAGAGACAGAUCCUUCUGUUGACAUCACAGAGCCACAGAGACUUCAUUCAGGUAACAUCACAAAGCCUCUAAGAGACUUUACAGGUGACAUAACAGAACCAGAGAGAGAUCCUUCAGGUGACAUCACAGAGCCACAGAGAGACGCUUCAGGUGUCAUCACAGAACCACAGAGAUACAACUCAGGUGACAUCACAGAGCCACAGAGAGACACUUCAGGUGUCAUCACCGAGCCACAGAGAGACACUUCAUGUGACAUAACAAGCCACAGAAAGACCAUUCAGGUGACAUCAAACACCAGAGAGAGAUCCUUCAGGUGACAUCACAGAGCCACAGAGACCUCUUCUGGUGACAUCACAGAGCCACAGAGACACCAUUCAGGUGACAUCACAAAGCUACAGAGAGACCGAUCAGGUGUCAUCACAAAAUCACAGAGAAAGAAUUCAGUUGACAUCACAGAGCCACAGAGAGACCCUUCAGGUGACAUCACAGAGCCACAGAGCGACACUUCAGGUAUCAUCACAGAGCCAUAGAGACCCCUUCAGGUGUCAUCACAGAGCCAAAGAGUGACCAUUCAUGUGACACCAGAGAUACACAGACAGACCAUUCAGGUGACAUCAAAGAGCCACAGAGAGACCAUUCAGGUGUCAUCAAAGAGACACAGAGAUACUAUUCAGGUGACAUCACAGAGCCACAAAGAGACACUUCAGGUGAUAUCACAGAGCCAUAGAGAGACUUUCAGGUGACAUCACAGAGCCACAGAGAGACACUUCAGGUGACAAAACAGAUCCACAGAAAUACCAUUCUUGUGACAUCACAGAACCAGAGACAGAUCCUUCUGGUGACAUCACAGAGCCACAGAGAGACACUUCAGGUGUCAUCACAGAGACACAGAGAUACAAUUCAGGUGACAUCACAGAGCCACAGAGAGACACUUCAGGUGAUAUCACAGAGCCAUAGAGAGAAUUUCAGGUGACAUCACAGAGCCACCGAGAGACAAUUCAAUAACAUAACAGAGCCACAGAAAUACCAUUCAUGUGACAUCACAGAACCAGAGACAGAUCCUUCUGGUGACAUCACAGAGCCACAGAGACAUCUUCUGGUGACAUCACAGAGCCACAGAGACAUCAUUCAGGUAACAUCACAAAGCCUCUAAGAGACUUUACAGGUGACAUAACAGAACCAGAGAGAGAUCCUUCAGGUGACAUCACAGAGCCACAGAGAGACGCUUCAGGUGUCAUCACAGAACCACAGAGAUACAACUCAGGUGACAUCACAGAGCCACAGAGAGACACUUCAGGUGUCAUCACCGAGCCACAGAGAGACACUUCAUGUGACAUAACAAGCCACAGAAAGACCAUUCAGGUGACAUCAAACACCAGAGAGAGAUCCUUCAGGUGACAUCACAGAGCCACAGAGACCUCUUCUGGUGACAUCACAGAGCCACAGAGACACCAUUCAGGUGACAUCACAAAGCUACAGAGAGACCGAUCAGGUGUCAUCACAAAAUCACAGAGAAAGAAUUCAGUUGACAUCACAGAGCCACAGAGAGACCCUUCAGGUGACAUCACAGAGCCACAGAGCGACACUUCAGGUAUCAUCACAGAGCCAUAGAGACCCCUUCAGGUGUCAUCACAGAGCCAAAGAGUGACCAUUCAUGUGACACCAGAGAUACACAGACAGACCAUUCAGGUGACAUCAAAGAGCCACAGAGAGACCAUUCAGGUGUCAUCACAGAGCCACAGAGAGACCUUUCAAGUGUCAUCACAGAGCCACAGUGUGACCCUUCAGGUGCCAUCACAAAGACACUAAGAGAUCCUUAGGUGACAUCGCAGAGCCACAUUGACACACUUCAGGUGACUUCACAGAGCCUCAGAGAGACUCUUCAGGUGUCAUCACAGAGCCACAGAGGGACACUACAGUUGACAUUAAUGAGCCACAGACAGACGCUUCAAGUAACAUCACAGAGCCACAAAAUGACACUUUUUGUGACAUCACAGAACCAGAGAGAGAUCCUUUGGUGAUAUCACAGAGCAACAGAGACCCCUUCUGGUGACAUUACAGAGCCACAAAUACACCAUUCAGGUGACAUCACAAAGCCAUUAAGAGACCAUUCAGGUGGCAUCACAGAGCCACAGAGAGACCCUUCAGGUGUCUUCACACCGACAAAGAGACACUUCGGGUGACAUCACAGAGCCAUAGAGAGACCCUUCUAGUGUCACCACAAAGAUGCAGGGACCCCUUCAGGUGACAUCACAGAACAACAGAGAUACCAUUCAGAUGACAUCACAAAGCCUCCAAGAGACUCUUCAGGUGACAUCACAGAACAAGAGAGUGACCGUUCUGGUGACAUCACUUAGCCACAGAGAGACGCUUCAGGAGACAUCACAUAGACACAGAGACAUUUCAGGUGUCAUCACAGAGCCACAUGAGAGACCCUUCAGGUCAGAUCACAGAUCAACACAGAGACACUUCAGGUGACAUCACAGAACCACAGAGAUUCCUUUCAGGUGACAACACAGAGCAACAGAGAGAACCUUCAGGAUUCAUCACAGCCACAGAGAGACACUUCAGGUGGUUUCACAGAGCCACAGAGAGAUCCUUCAGUUGUCAUCACAGAACCCCAGAGAGACGCUUCAGGUCCCAUCACAGAACCACAGAGAGACACUUCAUGUGUAAUCACAGAGCCACAGAGAGACCCUUCAUUUGACAUCCAUUAUCCACAGAGAAACACUUCAGGUGACAUCAGAGAACCAACAGAGACACUUCAGGAGUCAUCUCAGAGCCACAGAGACACACUUCAGGUGUCAUCACAGAGCCAGAGAGACACUUCAGGUGACAUAACAGAGCCACAGAGAUACCAUUCAUGUGACAUCACAGAACCAGAGACAGAUCCUUCUGGUGACAUCACAGAGCCACAGAGACCUCUUCUCGUGACAUCACAGAGCUACAGAGAGACAGUUCAGGUGUCAUCACAGAGACACAGAGAUACAAUUCAGGUGACAUCACAGAGCCACAGAGAGACACUUCAGGUGAUAUCACAGAGCCAUAGAGAGACUUUCAGGUGUCAUCACAGAGCCACAGAGAGAGACUUAAGAUGACAAAACAGAUCCACAGAAAUACCAUUCUUGUGACAUCACAGAACCAGAGACAGAUCCUUCUGGUGACAUCACAGAGCCACAGAGAGACACUUCAGGUGAUAUCACAGAGCCAUAGAGAGACUUUCAGGUGACAUCACAGAGCCACAGAGAGACACUUCAGGUGACAUCACAGAGCCACAGUGAGACACUUCCGGAGACACCACAGAGCAACAGAGUUACCCUUCAAGUGACAUCACAGAGCCACAAAUUGACACUUUUUGUGACAUCACAGAACCUGAGAGAGAUCCUUUGGUGAUAACACAGAGCAACACAGACCCCUUCUGGUGACAUUACAGAGCCACAGAUACACCAUUCAGGUGACAUCACAAAGCCAUUAAGAGACAGUUCAGGUGGCAUCACAGAGCCACAGAGAGACCCUUCAGGUGACAUCACAGAGCCACAGAGAGACCCUUCACGUGACAUCACAGAGCCACAGAGAGACCCUUCUGGUGUCACCACAAAGAUGCAGAGACACCUUCAGGUGACAUCACAGAUCAACAGAGAUACCAUUCAGAUGACAUCACAAAGCCUCCAAGAGACCCUUCAGGUGACAUCACAGAACAAGAGAGUGACCGUUCUGGUACAUCACUUAGCCACAGAGAGUUGCUUCAGGUGACAUCACAGAGACCCAGAGACUCUUCAGGUGUCAUCACAGAGCCACAGAGAGAUGCUUCAGGUGAGAUCACAGAUCAACACAGAGACAUUUCAGGUGUCAUCACAGAGCCACAGAGAGACACUUAAGGUGACAACACAGAGCCACAGGAGACACUUCAGGUGACAUCACAGAGCAACACAGAGACACUUCAUGUGUCAUCACAGAGCCACAGAGAGACCCUUCAGG
This 11294-nucleotide long non-coding RNA is filed under the name Cricetulus griseus (Chinese hamster). Its description in RNAcentral is "lncRNA (ENSCGRG00015038585.1)". Lineage: Eukaryota; Metazoa; Chordata; Mammalia; Rodentia; Cricetidae. The record is from RNAcentral.